This 585-nucleotide ribosomal RNA is filed under the name uncultured bacterium. RNAcentral describes it as "bacterial SSU rRNA". It matches the Rfam family "Bacterial small subunit ribosomal RNA", at positions 338 to 916 of the family's 1533-position model. The record is from RNAcentral.
CCUACGGGAGGCAGCAGUGGGGAAUUUUGGACAAUGGGCGCAAGCCUGAUCCAGCAAUGCCGCGUGAGUGAAGAAGGCCUUCGGGUUGUAAAGCUCUUUUGUCAGGGAAGAAACGGCAGUUUCUAAUACAGAUUGCUAAUGACGGUACCUGAAGAAUAAGCACCGGCUAACUACGUGCCAGCAGCCGCGGUAAUACGUAGGGUGCAAGCGUUAAUCGGAAUUACUGGGCGUAAAGCGUGCGCAGGCGGUUUUGUAAGUUUGUCGUGAAAUCCCCGGGCUCAACCUGGGAAUGGCGAUGAAGACUGCAAGGCUAGAAUCUGGCAGAGGGGGGUAGAAUUCCACGUGUAGCAGUGAAAUGCGUAGAGAUGUGGAGGAACACCGAUGGCGAAGGCAGCCCCCUGGGUCAAGAUUGACGCUCAUGCACGAAAGCGUGGGGAGCAAACAGGAUUAGAUACCCUGGUAGUCCACGCCCUAAACGAUGUCUACUAGUUGUCGGGUUUUAAUUAACUUGGUAACGCAGCUAACGCGUGAAGUAGACCGCCUGGGGAGUACGGUCGCAAGAUUAAAACUUAAAUGAAUUGACGG